CCACUAUUUUCCAAACAAAUGUCAAGGGAAUUAAAUACAAAAGAUAACAGAAUAAUAAUUUGUAAACAGACAUCAUAUUCAGACCACUAUUUCCCCCUUCUUCUUAUUUCCUAUUCCUCUCACAUUCCCAUCGUUUCAAUUUUCCUCCAAUGUUUCUAGCAUAUCUCCUCUGUCCUCUCCUCAUAGCUGUCCACACAAUAAUUCCAUCAUUUCGUCCGAUCUUCUGUUUGUCCUUAGAUCUCACUCUCCAUGUUUUUUAUUUUUACUCCUGGUUCUAAUAUGAUUUCAAAAAAAUAUCCCUAUUCCCAAAUCAACUCAUUUCUUUCCAAAAAAUAUCUCAAAGAAUUUAGAAGAUUCUACUCAAGUGGUGAGAGUCAAAUUUCACUUACCUUUGUUCUCAGUGACUGCAUUAAUCUGAUUAACGGAUUCCUCCCAUGUUCUGCUCCUGAUUCCACCACUAGCUGAUUAAUCUGAUUGAAGAAUCACAUAAAAUCUUCCUUUCAGUUUACCCUUGCUGCGAAUUUUCUUCCUCUCCCUCUUCCCCUGCAGCCUGACGUCCUCUUUUAAAGUGAAGGAGGAACCAUCAGAAUCGUUGAGGAUGGCAACGAAAUCCCUAAAUUAAAUAGAGGUUACAAAAUAGUUUUUGAUAAUUGAGGCAUAAUCAAUAUUUUUACUUUUAAUAAUUAAGGUAGGAACUAAUAACAUCUUCU
This 710-nucleotide long non-coding RNA is filed under the name Carica papaya (papaya). RNAcentral describes it as "long non-coding RNA (CPAP_LNC001132)". The record is from RNAcentral. Lineage: Eukaryota; Viridiplantae; Streptophyta; Magnoliopsida; Brassicales; Caricaceae.